GAGCGAAAGCGUGGGGGAGCGAACAGGAUUUAGAUACCCUGGUAGUCCACGCCGCUAAACGAUGAUGUGCAAAGUGUGCGGGGGUUUCCGCCCCUUAGUGCUGCAGCUAACGCAUUAAGCCCUCCGCCUGGGGAGUACGGUCCCAAGGCUGAAACUCAAAGGAAUAGACGGGGGCCUGCACAAGCGGUAGAGCAUGUGGUUUAAUUCGAAGCACCGCGAAGAACUUUACCAGGUCUUGACAUCCUGUGACAAUCCUAGAGAUAGGACGUCCCCUUCGGGGGCAGAGUGACAUGUGGUGCAUGGUUGUCGUCAGCUCGUGUCGUGAGAUGUUGGGUUAAGUCCCGCAACGAGCGCAACCCUUGAUUUUAGUUGCCAGCAUUCAGUUGGGCACUCUAAGGUGACUGCCGGUGACAAACCGGAGGAAGGUGGGGAUGACGUCAAAUCAUCAUGCCCCUUAUGACCUGGGCUACACACGUGCUACAAUGGACAGAACAAAGGGCAGCGAAACCGCGAGGUUAAGCCAAUCCCACAAAUCUGUUCUCAGUUCGGAUCGCAGUCUGCAACUCGACUGCGUGAAGCUGGAAUCGCUAGUAAUCGCGGAUCAGCAUGCCGCGGUGAAUACGUUCCCGGGCCUUGUACACACCGCCCGUCACACCACGAGAGUUUGUAACACCCGAAGUCGGUGAGGU
This 689-nucleotide ribosomal RNA is filed under the name Bacillus sp. (in: firmicutes). Its description in RNAcentral is "bacterial SSU rRNA". It matches the Rfam family "Bacterial small subunit ribosomal RNA", at positions 751 to 1436 of the family's 1533-position model. Lineage: Bacteria; Bacillati; Bacillota; Bacilli; Caryophanales; Bacillaceae. The record is from RNAcentral.